GGAUGCGAUCAUACCAGCACUAAAGCACCGGAUCCCACAGAACUCCGAAGUUAAGCGUGCUUUGGCGAGAGUAGUACUAGGAUGGGUGACCUCCUGGGAAGUCCUCGUGUUGCAUUCC
Molecule: ribosomal RNA, 118 nt
Filed under: Hordeum vulgare subsp. vulgare (domesticated barley)
Lineage: Eukaryota; Viridiplantae; Streptophyta; Magnoliopsida; Poales; Poaceae
Source: RNAcentral